GGACGAACGCUGGCGGCGUGCUUAACCCAUGCAAGUCGAACGGAAAGGCCCUGCUUUUGUGGGGUGCUCGAGUGGCGAACGGGUGAGUAACACGUGAGUAACCUGCCCUUGACUUUGGGAUAACUUCAGGAAACUGGGGCUAAUACCGGAUAGGAGCUCCUGCUGCAUGGUGGGGGUUGGAAAGUUUCGGCGGUUGGGGAUGGACUCGCGGCUUAUCAGCUUGUUGGUGGGGUAGUGGCUUACCAAGGCUUUGACGGGUAGCCGGCCUGAGAGGGUGACCGGCCACAUUGGGACUGCGAUACGGCCCAGACUCCUACGGGAGGCAGCAGUGGGGAAUAUUGCACAAUGGGCGGAAGCCUGAUGCAGCAACGCCGCGUGCGGGAUGACGGCCUUCGGGUUGUAAACCGCUUUCGCCUGUGACGAAGCGUGAGUGACGGUAAUGGGUAAAGAAGCACCGGCUAACUACGUG
This 469-nucleotide ribosomal RNA is filed under the name uncultured bacterium. Its description in RNAcentral is "partial 16S ribosomal RNA". It matches the Rfam family "Bacterial small subunit ribosomal RNA", at positions 27 to 507 of the family's 1533-position model. The record is from RNAcentral.